GACGAACGCUGGCGGCGUGCUUAACACAUGCAAGUCGAACGAAGAGCGAUGGAAGCUUGCUUCUAUCAAUCUUAGUGGCGAACGGGUGAGUAACGCGUAAUCAACCUGCCCUUCAGAGGGGGACAACAGUUGGAAACGACUGCUAAUACCGCAUACGAUCCAAUCUCGGCAUCGGGACUGGAUGAAAGGUGGCCUCUAUUUAUAAGCUAUCACUGAAGGAGGGGAUUGCGUCUGAUUAGCUAGUUGGAGGGGUAACGGCCCACCAAGGCGAUGAUCAGUAGCCGGUCUGAGAGGAUGAACGGCCACAUUGGGACUGGGACACGGCCCAGACUCCUACGGGAGGCAGCAGGGGGGAAUCUUCCGCAAUGGACGAAAGUCUGACGGAGCAACGCCGCGGGAGUGAGGACGGCCUUCGGGUUGUAAAGCUCUGUUAAUCGGGACGAAUGGUUCUUGUGCGAAUAGUGCGAGGAUUUGACGGUACCGGAAUAGAAAGCCACGGCUAACUACGUG
RNAcentral lists this ribosomal RNA (510 nucleotides) under uncultured bacterium. RNAcentral describes it as "partial 16S ribosomal RNA". It matches the Rfam family "Bacterial small subunit ribosomal RNA", at positions 28 to 507 of the family's 1533-position model. The record is from RNAcentral.